Molecule: non-coding RNA, 1068 nt
Organism: Schizosaccharomyces pombe (fission yeast)
Lineage: Eukaryota; Fungi; Ascomycota; Schizosaccharomycetes; Schizosaccharomycetales; Schizosaccharomycetaceae
Source: the annotation of a GenBank genome assembly
UUACAAAAUCAUAGCAAAUAUCGGAAUUAAAAACAAAUGUUAACAAAAAAAAGUAUUUAACUUUAGUUUCAAUUAGGCAAUAGAACUGCAGUACGGUCAUUCAUAAACCGGAACAUCUCAAUUACAAGAUAACCAUAAAUUAAAUGUCAUCAGCCAUCCAGGACAUCUUGUCACGAUUUUCAGCCAAUAUAACUGUGUCACCGGGAUUGAAGGCAGGCAUUCCUAUAUACGGGCAUCCACUACAACGAAAAGCGUCGCCAAGAUAGCAAUUUCCGCAACUUGAGACGGCAUUUUUACUCUUGAGCUUCUCGGUGAAAUCAACUUCGGUGGUGUCUGUAAGUUUUACAGCUUCUAACUGUGCGGAUGUCUUGGAAGACUCGUGUUCUUCCAUUUCACGUAAUCCACAGGUACAGUUCUUGCAAGCACGCUUUUUCUUUCCAGGUUCAGGUUUGCACUCGGGCACUUUUAAAACAUUAUCGUGGGCACUUUCGUCUAACAACUCAUCUUCAUCGAUGAGUUCUUGAUCAUCAUCACCACUAAUAAGGUUUUCCUUGUCAGAUUUUAAGAAAUCAAGAAUUUUGUUUUUGCUCGCUGAUUGACCAUUUUUGUUUGAUAAUUUAAUGGGAACUGCUUCCACCUGAUUGGGACGAGAUAAAAUCCAAGGACUCUUUGAUUCAAUAAGCCAUCCAGAUAGCAAAGCUGUCAUUUCAAAUGACUCGUCUGCUUCAUCGGCAGUAGAAUAAACACGAAGUGUUCCUCCAGGAUGUACUGAUGCAAAGGCUUGUGAAAGUAUAGGUCCUAGAGUUGAAGACCAUGCACCAUCAUCAAUGGCAGCAAUAACUGAAUCAUAUCGAUUGAUGGGUAAAUUAACAAGUUGAGAUUGGACGCGAUCUAUCAUUUGCAACUCUCUAGAAGCACCAUUAUCGAUAAGGUCAAAAACUUUUUUCAAAGACUCCUCUUUUGAAGCAAAGCCGGGAGACGUCAAAACAAGGACAGAAGAUGACAUAUUGAGAGAAGAUAUUAACAGCUUAAACAAAAGCAAAAAAAGUAAUUAAAAUUAUUAUAUUA